AUUGACCGCUGGCGGCAGGCCUAACACAUGCAAGUCGAGCGGAGCGGCGGACGGGUGAGUAAUGCCUAGGAAUCUGACUGGUAGUGGGGGAUAACGUCAGGUAACGGUCGCUAAUACCGCAUACUAUCUGAUGCGCCUAGGUCGGAUUAGCACGUUGGUGGGGUAAAGGCCUACCAAGGCGAAGAUCCGUAACUGGUCUGAGAGGAUGAUCAGUCACACUGGAACUGAGACACGGUCCAGACUCCUACGGGAGGCAGCAGUGGGGAAUAUUGGACAAUGGGCGAAAGCCUGAUCCAGCCAUGCCGCGUGUGUGAAGAAGGUCUUCGGAUUGUAAAGCACUUUAAGUUGGGAGGCGUUACCAACAGAAUAAGCACCGGCUAACUUCGUGCCAGCAGCCGCGGUAAUUC
Molecule: ribosomal RNA, 407 nt
Filed under: uncultured bacterium
Lineage: Bacteria
Description: partial 16S ribosomal RNA
Rfam family: Bacterial small subunit ribosomal RNA
Source: RNAcentral